Molecule: ribosomal RNA, 465 nt
Filed under: uncultured bacterium
Lineage: Bacteria
Description: partial 16S ribosomal RNA
Rfam family: Bacterial small subunit ribosomal RNA
Source: RNAcentral
GACGAACGCUGGCGGCGUGCUUAACACAUGCAAGUCGAACGGAAAGACCCCUUUCUUGCUACUCGAGUGUCGAACGGGUGAGUAACACUUGAGUAACCUGCCCUUGCCUUUGGGAUAACUUCAGCAAACUGGGGCUAAUACCAAUAAGGAAUCCUUUCUUCAUGGGGGUGGUUGGAUAGCUUCGGCGGUUUUUGCUGUCUUUGCUGCUUAUCUGCUUGCUGCUGUGGUUGUGGCUUACCAAGGCUUUUUCGGGUAGCCGGCCUGAGAGGGCGACCUGCCACACUGGGACUGAGGUACGGCACAGAUUCCUACGGGACGCAGAAGUGGGGAAUCUUGCAGAAUGGGCGGAGGCCUGAUGCAGCAACGCCGCGUGCGGGAUGACGGUGUUAGGGUUGUAAACCGCUUUCAGCAGGGGCGAAGCUUGUGGUGACGGUACCUGAAGAAGAAGCACCGGCUAACUACGUG